CUUGGAACAUGUCUGGUAUUGGGAAUUCAACAUGUGUAUUCCAAAUGACAAAACCACUUAACAAUCCAACACAAGGAUUUUCUUUUUUGGUACAUAAUUACUCCUGUAGCUUCCUUAACUCUGUUUGUUGAUUUGUAUUGGAACCAAUCCGAUCCGUCCCCAAAUCGAAAAAUGGGACGUCAAAAGCCUACUGGGGAUUGCCCAUUGAAUAACCCAGAAAAUCAAAACCCAUUCCCUGUUUUCUGUUCUUGCCUCUUGCAACCAAAACCCAAUUUCGUUUGGUGAAUAUAUGUAUAAUAUUUUCAUUAAAUAAACACAUGUAAAGAAAUUCAAAACCCAAUUUGCAAAAUUACCGUUUCCUUCCACUGUGGCCGAACUUGGUUUUUGUGCGAUCUUCUUCCGCAGAUGCCAUAAGGUUUUUUGAAUCAAUUUCUCCAUUAUCGUAUGAUAUACAAAUAGAAGAAAUCGAACAUCAUUUUGUAGCUGCCCGGAUCGACAGUUUGGGUAGCCUAAGAAGGCAUGAAAAUGUCGCCGGCGAAGGCAGUGUUGCCAUAAAAUUGGCUGUCGGCUUUUCCUCCUUUUAUUGUGGUCGAUUUUAUCUUUUUCCUUUUUUUUCCCGUUUCUUUUGAUGAAUUAAUUGGGAUGUGAAUUGAUGAUGUUGAAGGAGGAAAAGAAAAUUUGUAACCGGUUUAAAUGAAAAUCGUUGAAGUGGACUCUUAUGAGGCAGAAACAUUAACUUAGAUUAGGACCUGUUUUUGGGUAAUUUUGUACUGAAAGCUAGGGCAAUAUUAUCGACAAUUUGAGGUUUUAGUUGUUUAGCUUUAGGAGACAAGGUUCUCU
Molecule: long non-coding RNA, 840 nt
Filed under: Olea europaea subsp. europaea
Lineage: Eukaryota; Viridiplantae; Streptophyta; Magnoliopsida; Lamiales; Oleaceae
Source: RNAcentral